GUGCAAAGGUAGCAUAAUCAUUUGCCCCUUAAUUCGGGGCUAGUAUGAAUGAACCCUCCUAAAGCUAACUUUAUUUUCUUAUAGUAUAAAAACUUACUUUUAGGUGAAGAGGCCUAAAUUUUACUAAAAGACAAGAAGACCCUGUCAAGCUUUAAUAAGCUAAUAUUUUAUAAUAUUAAUUCCUUUAGUUGGGGCGACAAGAAAUAAAACUUAUCAUUUCCUUAUAACUAGAUAUAUAUAUCUCACUAAUUAACUUAAAUAUAAAAAUAAGAAAGCUACUGCAGGGAUAACAGGCUAAUACUUUUUUAG
Molecule: ribosomal RNA, 309 nt
Filed under: Eusyllis sp. GF-11877_26991
Lineage: Eukaryota; Metazoa; Annelida; Polychaeta; Phyllodocida; Syllidae
Description: partial large subunit ribosomal RNA
Source: RNAcentral